CUAACAUUCAUAUCUGCAAGCUUCAUGGACGGCUAGCAACUGCAGCAAAGAGCAACCGAAAACUUCCACCAUUUCCUCUACAAACUCCACCAAAUUCAACCAAAACUUCACACACACUUAGCUCUUCACUUGGACAAUCACUUGGACAAAGAAGGAGCUGCACAUUCACGGUUUUUCUUGGGGCUUUUGGACACCAAAAUCUGACCUUUUAGCACACAAGUAAGAUUUGAACUCGGAGGCGUACUGGAAAAAAACCUCCUGAUGAGCUUUUGUUUAGGGUUUCUAUUACUUUUGGCUAUGUCUUGGCUUUUGGGUUGUAUUUUGGAAUCCGAAUGUAACUUUUGGAGCAUAUGUAUAUUUGGGAUAUAUGAUGGUUGUUGAAUACCCGAUGUGCGGAUUGGAUAACGGAUGACUUUUAUUAAAUUUGAACGCUUCCGCAUUUAUUAUAUCUAAGUUAUUGACUCG
Non-coding RNA from Coffea arabica (coffee), 465 nucleotides. Lineage: Eukaryota; Viridiplantae; Streptophyta; Magnoliopsida; Gentianales; Rubiaceae. The record is from RefSeq and is a predicted model, not a curated record.